GACGAACGCUGGCGGCGUGCUUAACACAUGCAAGUCGAACGGAAAGGCCCUGCUUUUGUGGGGUGCUCGAGUGGCGAACGGGUGAGUAACACGUGAGUAACCUGCCCUUGACUCUGGGAUAACUUCAGGAAACUGGGGCUAAUACCGGAUAGGAGCUCCUGCUGCAUGGUGGGGGUUGGAAAGUUUCGGCGGUUGGGGAUGGACUCGCGGCUUAUCAGCUUGUUUGUGGGGUAGUGGCUUACCAAGGCUUUGACGGGUAGCCGGCCUGAGAGGGUGACCGGCCACAUUGGGACUGAGAUACGGCCCAGACUGCUACGGGCGGCAGCAGUGGGGAAUAUUGCACAAUGGGCGGAAGCCUGAUGCAGCAACGCCGCGUGCGGGAUGACGGCCUUCGGGUUGUAAACCGCUUUCGCCUGUGACGAAGCGUGAGUGACGGUAAUGGGUAAAGAAGCACCGGCUAACUACGUG
This 468-nucleotide ribosomal RNA is filed under the name uncultured bacterium. RNAcentral describes it as "partial 16S ribosomal RNA". It matches the Rfam family "Bacterial small subunit ribosomal RNA", at positions 28 to 507 of the family's 1533-position model. The record is from RNAcentral.